UACGUAGGUGGCGAGCGUUAUCCGGAUUUAUUGGGCGUAAAGUGGGCGCAGACGGUCUGGUAAGUCAGAUGUAAAAUCUCUCGGCUUAACCGGGUGGUUGCACUUGAUACUGUCAGACUAGAGGACAACAGAGGGAGGUAGAAUUCCCGGUGUAGUGGUGAAAUGCGUAGAUAUCGGGAGGAAUACCAGUGGCGAAGGCGGCCUCCUGGGUUGUUUCUGACGUUCAUGCCCGAAGGUGUGGGGAG
This 245-nucleotide ribosomal RNA is filed under the name uncultured bacterium. RNAcentral describes it as "partial 16S ribosomal RNA". It matches the Rfam family "Bacterial small subunit ribosomal RNA", at positions 524 to 768 of the family's 1533-position model. The record is from RNAcentral.